RNAcentral lists this ribosomal RNA (253 nucleotides) under uncultured bacterium. RNAcentral's name for it is "partial 16S ribosomal RNA". It matches the Rfam family "Bacterial small subunit ribosomal RNA", at positions 524 to 776 of the family's 1533-position model. The record is from RNAcentral.
UACAGAGGGUGCGAGCGUUAAUCGGAAUUACUGGGCGUAAAGCGCACGUAGGCGGCUUGGUAUGUCGGGUGUGAAAUCCCCGGGCUCAACCUGGGAACUGCAUCCGAAACUGCCUUGCUCGAGUAUGGGAGAGGGAAGCGGAAUUUCCGGUGUAGCGGUGAAAUGCGUAGAUAUCGGAAGGAACAUCAGUGGCGAAGGCGGCUUCCUGGACCAAUACUGACGCUCAGGUGCGAAAGCGUGGGGAGCAAACAGG